Molecule: ribosomal RNA, 429 nt
Filed under: Verrucomicrobiota bacterium
Lineage: Bacteria; Pseudomonadati; Verrucomicrobiota
Description: Verrucomicrobia bacterium partial 16S ribosomal RNA
Rfam family: Bacterial small subunit ribosomal RNA
Source: RNAcentral
UAGGGAAUCUUCGGCAAUGGGGGGAACCCUGACCGAGCAACGCCGCGUGAGUGAAGAAGGUUUUCGGAUCGUAAAGCUCUUUUGUUAAGGAAGAACGAGUGUGAGAAUGGAAAGUUCAUGCUGUGACGGUACUUAACCAGAAAGGGACGGCUAACUACGUGCCAGCAGCCGCGGUAAUACGUAGGUCCCGAGCGUUGUCCGGAUUUAUUGGGCGUAAAGCGAGCGCAGGCGGUUAGAAAAGUCUGAAGUGAAAGGCAGUGGCUCAACCAUUGUAGGCUUUGGAAACUGUUUAACUUGAGUGCAGAAGGGGAGAGUGGAAUUCCAUGUGUAGCGGUGAAAUGCGUAGAUAUAUGGGGGAACACCGGUGGCGAAAGCGGCUCUCUGGUCUGUAACUGACGCUGAGGCUCGAAAGCGUGGGGAGCGAACAGG